Molecule: long non-coding RNA, 2172 nt
Organism: Oncorhynchus tshawytscha (Chinook salmon)
Lineage: Eukaryota; Metazoa; Chordata; Actinopteri; Salmoniformes; Salmonidae
Exons: 5
Source: RefSeq, a predicted model, not a curated record
CGACACAGCAUGUAGCACCAACACUUUCUAUGAAUACAUUUUUAAAGUUUAUUUCUAACUUUAUGAUAUUAAGACGCGUUUAUAAAUCUAGCGACCCGAGAUGGAUGAACUAGGUGCAAAGAACUGAAGACAAAAAUUAUGCGCUUGUCACCGCAGUCCGUCAUAAAUGGACCAUCUGCCCGGUGUGAUGAUGCAAGACUGCAAGGUCGAUCCAUUAUGUCACCAUUCAAACUCAAACGGCAAGGUUCUACAAUUAAAAUAAAUUCUAAGUUGAAUAGAGGUCCUUAAAGUCCAUAUGAGAAGCUAAUAGUUGUUAGCGAGAUAUAUCAUUCUCAUGGUUUCAAGUGCACGUGUUAGGGCUCCCGAGAGGCGCAGCAGUCUAAGGCACUACAGUCCCUGGUUCGGAUCCAACCUAAAUCACACCCGGCCGUGAUUGGGAGUCCCAUAGGGCGGCGCACAAUUGGCCCGGGUUUGGCCGAGAUGGUGCAGAAGUCCUGAAUUCAACAGUGAAGGCUCUAAAGGAUGGGCAAGUUGUGGCUGUGCCAACGGACACAAUAUAUGGGCUGGCUUGCUUGGCUCAGAAUUCCAAUGCCAUCAAAAAGGUAUAAGUAAGCGUGCAUUGAUGGUGUUCGUAUCAUUGUUCUUGUGGCUCAAUGUCUUGCAACAUGCCUAACUCACACUAUAGGGCUGAGCUGAACUGGCCUGGCCCUGUUACGCAUCUAAUGUAGUUGCAAAAAUCUACCUUGCUGGACAGGACAAAAUGAAAAUAUCGGUGCCAACACAGUACAGUUUGCAUCAGCCCUAUAAUGUGAAUCAGGCAAUAUUGCAGCCUAGCCUAAAUGUUGUUUUUGGAUAGGGGACCUGUUGCCUGGCCCUGUCACUCUGAUUCUGGAACGAGCUGAAGUACUCAACACUGACCUCAAUAUCUUCACUCCGGUUAGACUUCCAUAGACAUGGACAAUUCACUGCCCCUAAAAGAUGACAAAUUAUACUGUAAUUCAUAAACCACUCAAUUUGAAAAUGUGUGUUGCUUUUCUGCAUGCUAGAUUUUGGAUUGGCAUUUAGUAAGUUAUUUAUUACAUGCAUUGGGCUGUUGGUGAUGAUGUGUUUACCUUUUACUUCCAGUUAGUAGUAGUGUGCAUCCCGGACCAGGCCUUCAUGAGACGCCUCUGCCAGAUGUGUCGGGAACCUCUUGCCCUCACCAGCGCCAACAUGAGCUCACACUCCAGCACUGAGGCUGUACAUGAGUUCCAGGAUCUGUGGCCUCAGUUAUCAGUGGUGGUGGAUGGCGGACCAAUAGGAGACAAGAGUCGGGUGGGAUCAACAGGCAAAUACCGCAUCAUCAGACCUGGCUGUGCCUUCUCUUCCACAGUUCAUGUGCUAGAGCACAAAUAUGGACUGUCAGAAGACACGGGAUGAGUGAGGUUUGCCCCCUUCAAAUUCAUACCACAUGCUGAAAUGUACAACCAGCAAGAACCUGUGCUUACCAUGGCCAAAUACAACUCUGAAUGAUGGCAAUGCCUGCAACGCUGAGGCGAGUGAUGAUUUCAAAAUUUCUAAAGGAGGGACGGUCCUUUUGCACAUUGCAUGCUAUUGUGGAAUGCUCUGGGUUUCUUGUAAAACAUAAGGGAUUUGUUUUUGUCUUUCUGGGUUAUAAGCUGUCCAAGCAUUGUUGUUUCUAUGGGAAAACCCUUUUUUUCACAAAUUGGUCUUCUGACCAAUCAGAUCAGCUCUGAAAAAUAUCUGAUGUGAUUGGUCAGACCAAUUGGUGGGGAAAAGAAUAUCAGGAUUGGGCUGCCUGUGUAAAUGCAGCCUAUGAGCUGUGAUCUAGUGUAUUAUUGCUCAACAGUUUUGAGUACCUGAUUACUGGUUUGUAUAAUGGACCAAUGAGAGUAUGUUGUUGACAAUAAAUGGCAUGCAUUAUGCAGAUCAUGAUGGCUUGUGUUGGUUUUCUCUCUUCGCCUAUAGUACUGGGUGAAUGUCAGUGUGGUGGAUGAACUACUGCAGAAGCUCCUGUCCACAGAACACUCUCAAUUACUUUUUUUUGAUAAAACGAAACUGCUGUGGACAUGGCGUUUCCCCUUGGCUGAAUUGGUCUGGCUGCAAUCACAUGCUCCGAUACCCCAACAUCUCUGUGGAGCCCUCAGACUCUCCCUGGUGCACUGACAUUAA